RNAcentral lists this ribosomal RNA (253 nucleotides) under uncultured bacterium. RNAcentral's name for it is "partial 16S ribosomal RNA". It matches the Rfam family "Bacterial small subunit ribosomal RNA", at positions 524 to 776 of the family's 1533-position model. The record is from RNAcentral.
UACAGAGGUCCCGAGCGUUGUUCGGAUUCACUGGGCGUAAAGGGUGCGUAGGUGGCAUGGUAAGUUUGAUGUGAAAGCUCAGGGCUUAACCCUGAAAUGGCAUUGAAUACUACUGUGCUGGAGGUUUGGAGGGGGGACUGGAAUUCUUGGUGUAGCAGUGAAAUGCGUAGAUAUCAGGAGGAACACCGGUGGCGAAGGCGGCCCUCUGGACGGAUACUGACGCUGAGGCGCGAAAGCGUGGGGAGCAAACAGG